AUACUUACCUGGCAGGGCAAUUUCAUGAUCAGGAAGGUAAUUUCCCCAGGGUGAGGCUUGCCCAUUGCACUCCGGGGGUGCUGACUCUUGCGAUUUCCCCAAAUGUGAGAAACUUGACUGCACAAUUUGUGAUAGUGGGGGACUGUGCACUCUUCCCUA
Suncus etruscus (white-toothed pygmy shrew) is the source of this 159-nucleotide small nuclear RNA. RefSeq annotates it as U1 spliceosomal RNA. The transcript has a single exon. The record is from RefSeq and is a predicted model, not a curated record. Lineage: Eukaryota; Metazoa; Chordata; Mammalia; Eulipotyphla; Soricidae.